ACUGGCGGCCAUAGCGAGGGGGUAACACCCGUACCCAUCCCGAACACGGAAGUAAAGUCCCUCAGCGAUUGUGUCGGUACUGCCUUUCGGCGGGAGAACGCAGACGCUGCCAGGC
Molecule: ribosomal RNA, 115 nt
Organism: Candidatus Nanosalinarum sp. J07AB56
Lineage: Archaea; Methanobacteriati; Methanobacteriota; Candidatus Nanohaloarchaea
Source: Rfam